GAUGAAGAACGUAGCGAAAUGCGAUAAGUAAUGUGAAUUGCAGAAUUCAGUGAAUCAUCGAAUGUUUGAACGCACAUUGCGCCCGCCAGUAUUCUGGCGGGCAUGCCUGUUCGAGCGUCAUUUCAACCAUCAAGCCCUGCUUGCGUUGGGGUCCUGCGGCUGCCCGCAGGCCCUGAAAACCAGUGGCGGGCUCGCUAGUCACACCGAGCGCAGUAAUACAUCUCGCUUUGGGCGUGCGGCGGGUUCUUGCCGUUAAACACCCCCUUUUUACCAAGGUUGACCUCGGAUCAGGUAGGAAUACCCGCUGAACUUAAGCAUAUCAAUAAGCGGAGGA
RNAcentral lists this unclassified non-coding RNA (334 nucleotides) under soil metagenome. RNAcentral's name for it is "partial contains 5.8S ribosomal RNA, internal transcribed spacer 2, and large subunit ribosomal RNA". The stretch from base 1 to 120 matches the Rfam family "5.8S ribosomal RNA", at positions 35 to 154 of the family's 154-position model. The record is from RNAcentral.